CCCUUAGAUGUUCUGAGCUGCACGCGCGCUACACUGAUGCGAUCAACAAGUUUUUCCUAUGUCGAUAGACACGGGUAAUCUUUUGAACUCGCAUCGUGAUGGGGAUAGAUUAUUGUAAUUAUUAAUCUUCAACGAGGAAUUCCUAGUAGGUGCAAAUCAUCAGUUUGCAUCGAUUACGUCCCUGCCCUUUGUACACACCGCCCGUCGCUGCUACCGAUUGGUUGAUCUGGUGAAUUAUUCGGACUGCCGGCUGAAGGGGUUUCCUCAUCUGCCAGCGGAAAGUCUUGUUAACCCUAUCAACUAGAGGAAGCAGAAGUCGUAACA
Molecule: ribosomal RNA, 324 nt
Filed under: uncultured eukaryote
Lineage: Eukaryota
Description: partial 18S ribosomal RNA
Rfam family: Eukaryotic small subunit ribosomal RNA
Source: RNAcentral